Molecule: ribosomal RNA, 429 nt
Filed under: Verrucomicrobiota bacterium
Lineage: Bacteria; Pseudomonadati; Verrucomicrobiota
Description: Verrucomicrobia bacterium partial 16S ribosomal RNA
Rfam family: Bacterial small subunit ribosomal RNA
Source: RNAcentral
UAGGGAAUCUUCCGCAAUGGACGAAAGUCUGACGGAGCAACGCCGCGUGAGUGAAGAAGGAUUUCGGUUCGUAAAACUCUGUUGUUAGGGAAGAAAAAAUGUAUAGUAACUAUAUACAAAAGAGACGGUACCUAACCAGAAAGCCACGGCUAACUACGUGCCAGCAGCCGCGGUAAUACGUAGGUGGCAAGCGUUGUCCGGAAUUAUUGGGCGUAAAGCGCGCGCAGGUGGUUUAGAAAGUCUGAUGUGAAAGCCCACGGCUCAACCGUGGAGGGUCAUUGUAAACUAAUAAACUUGAGUGCAGGAGAGAAAAGUGGAAUUCCUAGUGUAGCGGUGAAAUGCGUAGAGAUUAGGAGGAACACCGGUGGCGAAAGCGGCUUUUUGGCCUGCAACUGACACUGAGGCGCGAAAGCGUGGGGAGCAAACAGG